Lyophyllum atratum is the source of this 87-nucleotide non-coding RNA. The record is from the annotation of a GenBank genome assembly. NCBI's taxonomy places the organism in Eukaryota, Fungi, Basidiomycota, Agaricomycetes, Agaricales, Lyophyllaceae.
GCCCGCCUAGCUCAAUCGGCUAGAGCGUCAGACUUUUACGAAGAAGUAGGCAUCUGAAGGCUGCGAGUUCGACCCUCGCGGUGGGCU